Molecule: long non-coding RNA, 1004 nt
Organism: Quercus robur (English oak)
Lineage: Eukaryota; Viridiplantae; Streptophyta; Magnoliopsida; Fagales; Fagaceae
Exons: 2
Source: RefSeq, a predicted model, not a curated record
GUUGGGAUUCACAUCCAGUGCAAUACCUAGGGUAUUGCACGGGGUGCAAUACCUCAAAUCUCAGCCGACUGUGUAAUCCAAGGCUCAUUAAUUUGACACGUUAUAACUCCAGCCUGGCAAUCCGUGUCUCCCACUUUUUCUUUUUCAUUUCAGCUACCCAAUUUGAAUUCAGUAAAACUCUUUCUCUCCCACCUCAACUGGGUUUCUCUUUCUCUCCCUAACGCUCCAUUCUCUCAACCCGACUGUGCUUCCACCACUCUCUCAACCUCCACACUUGCUCUGUGCGUCUCCCUCAAGUCCUCAACCCCUUCAUCACCGUUACCAGCAUACCCAACUCAGACCCAUCAGCAAAAACAAAGAAAAAAUAGCAACUCACCAUCUGAAACCAAAUCCCCAAACACUCACACGCCUCGUAGAGCACUUUUUAGACCCAGAUGAGAGAGAGAGAGAGCGAGAGCAAGGGUUGAGGUUUGGAGAGAAUCGGGUGUAGAGAGAAGUGGAUGCUUUUGGGGUUUGAUCUAGGGAGGGAAAUGAGAUUGAGAAAUUUGGUCCGAAGAAGCCACCAUCGGAGGUGGUGCUGAGUGGUGGUUGUGAUGAGCCAUGGCAGCAGAGAGAGGAAGAGGCUGACUGGUCCGACUUGGACUUUUAUGCUUCAUCACAUAUAUUUGCUCAAUUCUAGAAGCUCCUUGAAGAGAACUUAUUUAGGGGAAGGACAACCAAUUUCUUUUACAUGCUCUUACUCGAAGCCACUUUUUGAACCGGAAUUGUUCUUGGGGAAUGAUACGUUGUUGGAGUCACAAUGUUAUGUUGUAUUGUAGAUUGAAUUCUGGUUUUUUGCUUGUUAGAAAUUAGUGCGACACUUUGAUAACUAUAGAUAUGCAUUUGAUUUAUUAUCCAUUACAUUCACUUUUUCUAUGGUUAUUGUGGUCCUUAUAUUCAUCAUAAAUUUGUAAUUGAACUUUUGUUGUGCUACUAUAUAAUUAUAGUGUUAGAGAAGUUGGUUA